GCUAUGCCCCACCAAAAGUUUUUAUUCUGAUUGGGACAAUACAGAGAUUAGCAUGGCCCCUGUGCAAGGAUGACACGCAAAUUUGUGAAGUGUUCCAUAUUUUU
Diceros bicornis minor is the source of this 104-nucleotide small nuclear RNA. The record is from RefSeq and is a predicted model, not a curated record. NCBI's taxonomy places the organism in Eukaryota, Metazoa, Chordata, Mammalia, Perissodactyla, Rhinocerotidae.